UUUUUUUUUUUUUUUUUUUUUUUUUACGAAAGAGGUACUAAUGAAAAGCAUUUAAAAAAAAAUUCCAUAAUGAUUCAGAUGUGGAGUCAGCUUAAAUCAAAGAUCCACGUGGUCUGGUUGCCACCAAUUGGACAGAAAGCUGUGUGGUUCUCCCUUUUAGUAGCCUAGAUACAUACUUCCGAGUAUGUCUCCUGGGAGCAGAGUUGAAAGUGUGGGUUUAUGUUAACCGGCUGUGGCAGGGACAAGGAAAGGGGUAGGUCUGUUGGAAAAAGGUCUUCAUGAAGUGAAGAGCGUAGCACUCUCAGAAACCUCUCACCCAGAGACGUGUUGCUCUCCAAGAAAACAAUGGAAUGCCCGACCAGAAAGAAGCUAGGGAAGCGCUUAAAACUCUCAGAGAGAGAGAGAGAGAGAGAGAGAGAGAGAGAGAGAGAGAGCUCUCCACACAGCCUUGGCUUUGCUUGGUUCUCCAUUGAGGUUUUCUUGGGUGACUCUGUUGAGCCCAUGAUGGCCACUGGGCACAGCCCGGAAGGGGGCUCCCCUGCAUGUUUGUGGCUCUGGUAUUAGAUGGCAGCUUCGCAUGCAAGGCAGCACCUGUCCUUCUUCCUAAGGACUCUGGGCCAGGUUAGCUGCUCUGCGAUGUCUCCAGAUGACAGUUGUUGGUAUGGAAAACCUGCCCCUAUAGUGGUUGGGAUAGAGUUCGAAAGGUCACGUCAGCAAAGCAAAGGUUGGUGCUGCGCCUGUGUGCACUGGUGCCAGGCAGCACUGCAGCCCCCUGGGCUGGUUCAGAAUAUUCAACAGUGGUGGGAAAUGGCAGAAGACAAAGGCCCUUACAGAGUCUGGAGGUGGGAAUGGGGCAUGCAGGGUUCUGGCCGGUCUGUCAUCCCUGGUGAUGAGCGUCUGUCUCACGCAGCUGCACCCCCAGCUCCCUUUCCCCUGGCUUCCAGUGUGAGAAGCAAGACCUUGACCCUCUGCCUGCAAUGCUACAGAAAGACCACACUUAGCUCUUCAGUUACCAAGAAUGCCCGCUCUCUCCAGGAGCAUCUAGAGGGCUUGAAGGGUCAUCAACCCCUUGCUCUCACCUCUUCCUGCCUUGGAAAAUUGCUGCAAACCUCACUAACCGAAUCUCACCAGCCCAGCCCAUGUUUUUAACACAAUUUCCUCCUGUUCUCUCUGUGUGUGCAUUUAAUCCUUGAGGUAAUAAUGUGUUGUAUUAAAAUUUUCUGAUGCACUGAAUUAAUUCUCAAGUAGAAAAGGCUGGGGACUUCAUUCUCAUUUCUGUCAUUUGUUUAAUAAAUUUAAGAAACAUUCUUUCCAUUGUUCCACUGUAUACCGUUUUGUCAGCAUGUACCUACCUGGGAGAAGACGCUCUGUUUUGAACAUUCUGUCUUGAUCCUUGGAGCAUGGCAUACCUUCUGUCCCCUGCACUGUUGGAACGCUGUUUGAUGUCUUUUCAACCCAAAACCUUGCCUAAAUACCAAUUUGUACCUGGAAUACCCUUUGUAGAACACAGCAGUCGCUCACCCAGCGGCACUUUGACAGACCGAAUCAUGGCCACCCAGGCGCCGGGAGAAGUGUACACUUGGCUUUUGUGGCCUCAUCUUCUCUCAAGGCCCUGCACCGUAUAAGGUGCUAUGGGGUGGGGCAAGCCCUUGGAGGAGAGCAAGUUCACUUUAAAGGGGGGCAGAUGUAGGUGGAACAGAGCGCAUCUGAGACAGCAGCUUACGUUGGGAGCUCACACAGCCAGCCGUCCACAGGCUGGGCUUUGCUAUUCCCAGUGGGAGUGAAACACCUGAUGCUGAUUGGCUUUGGUGGGAGGGAGUGGGGCGUAGCAUCUCCAUCAGACAAGCUCUUUGUCCCCUGGGUGGGCACCCACAAUGUGUGCUCCUCAGAUGCGCCCUGCUUUCACUUCUGCCUGUGCUUCCGUGUGGAGCCUCCGCACAGCAUGGACUCCUGUCACCCAGGAUGCUCUCUGUCUUCUCUGAUAGCCAUGAGUUUGGUGGCGAGCAUGGAAGACCAAACUCAUGUCAAAUGUUUGCAUGGUAUUAAUAUCUUGUGUUACUCUAAACUCCAGAGGCUUUCCUAAACCUUGUCCUAACGGGAAUCUUGCUGUUAACAAACCAAAAACCUGUUUGAUGUAACUGUUCUUUCCCACCGAUGGCUGAAGCUUUGUCCUUCCUACAAGAUGGUAUACUAGACUCCACGUUCCUCAGUGACACCAAGUUCACAAGUCCUCCGCCAUCUUCAAAGCAGGAUUCUCCUUUACCUUUGCCCUAGAAGUAAGAGCAGCCUUGUAUGCUCUCUGCCAUUUGACCCUAAGUGACACCCCCUCUGUCUGUCUGUCUGUCUGUCUGUCUGUCGCCUGUCUGCAAGUCCGACAUCACUGUUGCUUGUCUGAAUGGCUUGGUGAUGAAGUGUGAAGUGGAAGCUUAGCUGUUGUUGAGCUCGCCUUAAAGGAUGCUGGUUCUGAGGAACGCAUGUAACUUGCCCCCAGCCACCUAAGGUAUCAGGAAGAGGACACCAUCUCUAACACUGGUAAACUGUGACCUCACUCUUCCAUGUGGGAACCUUGCCAUUCCAGCCAGCUGUUGUCAUAGAGUCCGAUGGCCAGGGACCCACCUCUGAUUCAGUGUGGUGGGGAUUUUCUUGGGUGGUGAAUGCUCAGAAUAGAUGAUCUCAUUCGAAAUUUCAUUGUCUUCUUUCUUAGUGGGAAGUCGUGAGUUUAAAAAGAGCCCUGUGUUUCUUCUGUCUUUCCUAUGUAUGCCUCUAGAACUAACACAUUCUGAGUAUGUAGGUAAAAAAAAAAAAAAAAUCUAUAUUUUAGAACCAGGUAACAAAAGAUAGGAUUGUAGCAUCUAAAAACUUGCAAAAGACGUAAGUUUAUUCGGAGAAUAGUAAAGAAGUUUUGAAAGUAGGAGUUAAUCAGCGCCAUCAAUGUUCUCAUUUUAAUAAUUUAUCAAAUAACAAGUUUCUUUUUUUUUUUUAAUUGUCAGGUUUUCUGCUUCUCUUUUUACAGGAAAGAACCCACACGAAAUACCUAUCAAGUUAAAAAUUAGACACUAAUCAACUUACUGACUACUUUACAAAACAGGACAGGUUCAGAAGUAUGUGAAAUGCCAUUUUAAUUAUCUGAGAAAUAGAUUGGAUUUUUUUCUCACUCUCUCUUCCCAGAACUGGGUGAGUCUGUUUACACAGCUUUGGCCUACGCUGAAGAAGCAGAUCAUUAGCAGGGAGCUUGUGCCAGCCCUCAGAGGGGAUGAGAGGCAGGAAGCUGUGCCCGCUCCCUCUCAGGCCGUUUUGUCUCCUCUGAUGAAGAGCCUGUCCUGAGCCUCUGAGCUCAGCCUCCUAUGGGCCAGGAGAGAAUUAUGAAUGUAUUCUAAAUGAAAAUGAUAAAGCUGUAGAGGCAGGCUCUGGGAUAGGUGAUAGAUUGAAAUCCAUAAAAACAGCAGGGCCAAUUUGAAAUCCCAUAAUUAUUUGUGGAAUGACAAAGUGUCCAUUUAAGAAGAUUUGAAAAGGCCUUUGCCAGAAGUGUGUGCCCUUAGAGCAUUGUUGGUGGGGGAUUGCUGGCCCACCUCUUCAUGCAGAUUAGUGGGAGAGGAAGACAUUGCCGAGGAGCUACUAACCUGAGUGCCUGAGAAAAACUUUUAGAAGUAGGGAUUGGAAAUCUCCAGAGGUUUAGUGAGCAGUUGAUCUCUUCCCUAACACCUUGGAAUUCCUUCCCGCCUCUUGCCUUACUACCCGGGUGCUUCCUCGGAGGGUCGUACAGAAUUGUCUACCUGUAGCUCCCUCCCUCAUGAAGAAAUUUGCCUAUUCUCACUUGCAGUCAGGGAAGACAGGUUUAAAAAACAAAAGCCCACUCGUCAAUCAUUCCACAGCAUAAGGACAAAGGUGCCUGAUGGGUUCCUCUUCUCUGUUCCCACCACCUGUGGCUGUGCCUUCAAAACGGUUGUCAGACUUAGUGACCUUCAGUCCUGUGUAGUCACACUAACUCUACAUAACCUUGAACCCCGCUUGCUUUAGACAUGCCCUUCACACUCACCAGUCUGGACACAGAGCUGCCAGAUUCUCCCUAACUGUUCUUGCCAGCGUGUCUCAUUGAUUGCUGAGUGGGAAGCUGGGACAUCUCCCUUUGGGUCUGCGUCACCCGUAAGGUUUCAAGUCCUCGGGACAGGGCCUUGUCUCCAUAGGCCCAGCUUCAGAAACUCCGACGUCUCCUUCCUUAGCCUUGCUGACGGAUUCUUGGUCAAAGUGUUGGUUGGUGUUUGUCCAUGUCUUGGUCUGACAGUUUACCCACCCAGCCCUCUUCCUUUCAUGAGCAGACCCAAGAACCUCUUCGGAAAAGGAAAUUAACCACCCCAACUUGGUUCCCCACCCCCACCCCCUGUGAGGCAAUCAGACAUGGUCAGACCACAUGUGCCAAACCCUGCGAGCAGACCUGAGCUGUCACCAGCCUUUUCUAUCCCUUGGGCGACCAGGGCAGCCUUCUACCACCUCUCUGAGGUAGUCCAGUGAGAAUUCUUUUAAACCUAACCAACUCUAUUCUUUAAAAGGUUGUCAGGGCAUCACCUCUCAAGACCCAAUCUAUUGCUUAUGCUUCCAGCCUGACUGACGGGUCAGCUUUCUGCAAGCCUUGCCAGGGUAGGAGGGCAGGGACGGGACAGUUCAGCAAGAACCCUAGCUUUCACUUGUGGAGGGUGGUGUGUCUGUCUCUGAAUGUGUGAACCUUACUCUCUCCUUCAGUGGCAGGCAGCUUGCUCUCUGUCGCUGGAAGCUGUUCACAGCCUGCUGGUAACCCAUCUCCUCGCAGCCUGCCCCACUUGAAGCUAGCUUUCUAACAACUUUUUAUCCUUGGCUCCAACUCUCUCAGAGAGGUGAAUGCUUUUUCUGUGCCACACCACCGCAGCCCCAAGGCCCAGCAUGCUGUCACUUAUAACCUGCCCACCCGAUCUCGUGAGAGCUGACGGUAAGCCCCACAUUUAGCUAGAUGACUGGUGGGUAAACUCUGAAGCGACUCUCAACUCAGCCACUCACGAAUGCAUGGAAUGUUUUGAUCUUGACACGAAACUGCCAGAAUUUUCUCUUUUCUAACUUCUAUUUGUAGUGGUAACAUUUUUCUGUGAUUUUUUUUUUUUUAAAAAGAGAAUAGUGUAGUAUCUUGAAACAAUGCAAUUCCAGUGUGUCACUAUUUCUAUUUAACAACUUUCAUUCUUUCCUAAUCAUUGUAUCCAGUUGUGCACUAGUGUCAAUAAAAUUGACAUUUGUGAAGCGA
This 5266-nucleotide long non-coding RNA is filed under the name Mus musculus (house mouse). RNAcentral describes it as "RIKEN cDNA B930095G15 gene (B930095G15Rik)". Lineage: Eukaryota; Metazoa; Chordata; Mammalia; Rodentia; Muridae. The record is from RNAcentral.